CGGAUCGUUAACCCACUGAGCAAGGGCAGGGACUGAACCCGCAACCUCAUGGUUCCUAGUCGGAUUCGUUAACCACUGCGCCACGACGGGAACUCCGGUAGUGUGAUAUUGGUGUAAAAGUAGACAGACUAAGAAAAAAGUCCUCAAACACACCCACAUAUUUGGACACUGGCUUUUACAACUUGAUCCUGAAAAGCAGUGGUGAAAGAUAGUUCAAUCAAUGGUGUGUCUAUUGGGUAACUGCAUGGGAAAAAGAAAAGAAACUUAAUUAUUAUGUGAACACAUGCAUAAAAAUCAGUUUUCAAUUGAUGGUAGCUCUAAAUGUGAAGUUUCUAUAAGAUAAAAAAUAUCUUCAUGAUGUGAAGAUAGAGAAAAAUAUUGAAUGAUACAAAUAGCACAAAGAAAUAUUGAUAAAGUGGAUUACAUUAAAUUAAGAACUUUUGUGUAUCAAAUUCCAGGAGUGAAGAAGUAAGCCACAGAUUAGAAGAUAGUUGUAACACACACAAUUGACAAAAUACGUGAAAAACUCUGUACAAGUCAGUCAGUAAUAUAGAUAAUUCCUUGUAUUUUCUUUACAGAAGAGGCUAUCUGAAUGGCUGGUACAGCUACAAAAGGUGCUCAAUCUUGUUAGUAAUCAAGGAAAUACAAACUGAAACAGACACCUAUCUUGUAACCAGCAACUCCACUCCUAGGCACAUACCCAACAGAAGUGCAAGCAUAUGUAUACAAAGACUUUUACAAGAAAGUUCACUGCAGCGUUAUUUGAAGUAUUGCCAAACUGGAAGCAGCCCAAAGGUCCAUUCAUAAUAGAAGUGGCGGUAUCCUCACUCAGUGAAAUACUCUUCGGCAAUUAUGAUGGAAAAAACCUAUGGAAAAAUACAACACGAACAAACCUCACAAAUAUUUUGAGCACAGAAAUCCAACACAAAAGAAUAUAUGCUGUAUUAUUCCACUUAUGUAAGAUCAAAAACAAGCAAAACUUUACUAUAGCUUUAGGAGUCUGUGUAAUAAUUAAAUAGGGAGGCAGUAGUUUGGGGAAGGGACCUGAGGUUUAGGCUUGGCUUCAGGGGUGCUAAAAAUGUCCUGUUGCUUAUAAUGAUGGAUUGUAUCAAAUUGUAUGCUUAUAAUUUGUACACUCUUUUUUUGUGUGAGGUACAUUUCAAUAAGCUUUUGCAAAUUCAGCAAUGCUCUGAUCAGACCAAUCUUAGAGAAUUCUUUGUUUACACUGUCAGUUAUAAUAAUGUAAUAGUUGAUGUGACAAUUUAUAAGUGACACUGAUGAAACAAAAUGACAAAUUAUUUAUGGUGAAUAACUGCUAGUCAAAGAAUAAAGCUGAACUCAGGGAAGAAAAGCUACACACAGAAAGUAACCUGAAGAUUUUAGAGAAGGCAGUUCAACAGAGAUCAAAUACCUUAGAAAAAGGCUCCUCGCCUGACUCAAGACUUGGGGACCUGCUGGCAUUCAUGCACACUCUGUCCUGGCCUCUGAGGCUCUUGCUGGUGCAUACCCAGCCUACACCUCUUUCAGUCCCAGUGAGUCUUUUGUCUUAAUCUUGGACCAGAUGAGGGCAGAACUCUUUGAGCACUGAGUAGCUAAUGGAACUGAAAUGUCUCCAACAAGGCAAAGCUGCAAAUUGCUGUGAUUCAUCCUGAGGGCAUGCAGCCCCCAGGGAUCUUUGUUGUUAAGAGGAACACACCUGCCAGAACCCUGUGUGGCCACAGCCUCCCUCAUCAACGUGUGGGAUGCUGAGAUUCAGGCUUUAAAUUUUAAUCUGAGAGCACAGAUUAGUACCUGGGCUGUUUUCCUCUGAGAGGUUUUUGUCUUUGCUGUUGUCGUUGUCAUUAGUUGUUAGAAAGGGAAGGAGAGAGGGAGAAAUCACAUAUUCCCUCGCCUGGAUUUCAAAACCCUUAUAAUCCUUCCCAAAGCUACCUUUUCAAAUGCUGUCUCCCACCAGUCCCCUGGGUGGUGCCUAUAUUAACCCAACAAAAGUCACCACCACAAAAUACUGUGUGCAUCUUGCUUUUAACUUGUCCAUACUUUACCCACUCAUUUCCACGUGGAUGAGUCAAUUCUACCUUCAAGGCUGAACUCAAUGCAGCUUCCACCGCAAGGGUUUACUGACCAUUGCUGGCUCCUGUGGCUAUUUACUGACUAUUUUUCCAUACUCUAAAUCAGAAUGCCAUGCCACUUAUGGGUAUGAAUAGUCAUCUAUGAGAUGUUUGAAGCUGGGAACACAAGUUUCACAUCAAUAAGGUUUUCUUGCUGUCAAAGUGCUUCUUAGGUGCCAGCCGUUAUGUUAAACAUUUCAUCUACAUUAUUUCAUUGACUCCUCAGGAUCAGCCUAGUAGGUAGAUACUAUUUUAUACUUGCCUAAGGUUAUUCUAGGGACAGUACAUUGCAGAACCAGAACUCUGACUCUUCAGGACGUGCUCCCCACUCUUCCACAGAGCUGCUCGCAGAUGGGGAAAGGGCAGGGGUGGCAGGGUUGAGGUGGGCUGAGGCAUCCAGUGUGGGGAGGGGUGGAGAGACGAGGCUGGCCUGACCAUGGCGUGCUGUCUGUGCAGAUCAGUGCAUGUGGAUCUGGAGCUCUGCCCAGCAGGCAGCAGGAAGAUAGUGCAUGUGAGUAAGAAGGCUUUAGCGAGCCGUCUGGAAAUACAGAUCCAGCAGAUGCUCACUAGUUCAGAGUGGCUAUAGCACAGUGGCUGCAAGCGUGGCUUCCACAGCCAGACUGCAUGGAUUUGAAUCCUGGCUUUGUCAAGACAUGUGCCUUUAGGUAAGUUGCUUGCCUUCUCUGAAGUUACUUGUCCAGUCUGUGUCUGUUGUUUUCCACCUGCCGAAUGGAGAUGAUAAUACUUACCUUGUAGUACAGUUGUAGGGAUGAAAGGAGUUAAUACAUGGAAAGCUUUCUGAAGGGUGCCAGGCACACGGUAACUACUGUGGAGAGUGGGCUCUCUUUCUCUGUUUGGAUCUCCAUGCUCCCAUAUGUAAAUGAGAGUUGGAUCAGAUUGUCCAUGGUGUAGACACCAUCAUGUCCAUUUAAGCUCUCCUCUUAGAUUUCAUGAGCUCUAGGUAUGUCUAGACUCUGCUUCUAAUUUGCUGCAUCAUGCUGGCAACCCAUUUAAAAUGGAGAAGCAGCUCCCUGACCUUAAAUAGGUUACUUUGUGUCUCCAGGCCUCAAUGUCUCCACCCAUCCCUCUGACUUAAUUCUUCUAGGACCACAAAGAGAGCAGUGCAUACAUCUAGAAUGAAAGGCAUCUCUAGGUCCCCCAAACCUAUGGAAUGUUAGAAGUAGGAUUAUUUUUCUUUUUCAGCACCCCCAGGCCCUGGGCCUCAGAGCCAGAUCUACCUCCUCUCAGCUCAUGGACAAGUUGCCCUUGAAGACAAGGUCUGGGUGAGGCAUUUUUGAGGUUAGCUUUGUGAGGAGAAGAGGGCUUUCUUGGGGGGAGCUUUAGGCCCUCCUAAUUCUGUCACCUUCCAAUUCCCAUUCUUGGAGAAAGACAAUUGGCAUUUUCAACGUCUGAUGUAAAAGUAGUAUACACAUGCUGUUCAGGCCUCAUUCCAACCCAAUGACUGGACUUUAGCCCCUUAAAUCAAGGCUUUGGGAGCCACUGGUACAUUCAGACUGUGAAGGUUCACCCAGGUCCAGCCCGAUCCCCUGCACAGUGACUCAGGCAAUAAUUUUAUCAAAUAUUUUGCCAUAGCAAAACAAUACGCCUCAGCCUGUCUGGCUCCCAUAUCUCUUCCCACACAGCCAGUAUCACAGGCUUUAGUUUUCUAUUAUGGGGGUACCAACUUCAAAGUACCAAUUUCUAAUCUAGCUAGGGUAGUCCAAGCUAUGCUGUGAUUGCAAAUAGACCCAAGCAUGCAAUGGCUCAACAGGAAGGCAGUUUACUUCUCACUUGUCUCAAGGUCUAGCAGGUUGGCUAAUUCUUCUCAAAGCAGUGAUUCAAGAAACACAACUCCAUCUGUCCUAUGGUUAUACUGUCUUCAAGGCAUGGCUCUCAGGGUGGACUUGGGCGUUCUCUCCAUUCCAGUCUGAUGGGGAAGGGAGAAGAGAGAGUGAGAUAGGCCUGAAAGUGCCAUAUAUGACUUUCAUCCGUAACGUUCUGUUCAUCUGGGACUCAGGCACAUGACACCAGCUAAUUUAAAAGAGGUGGGGGAAUGGGGUCCAGCUAUGAGCCCAGGAAGGAAGAGGAGGUGGGUUUAGUAAGUAUCCUGUCAGUCUCUGCUACUGUUAGCUAUGAUAUUGAUCCAAAUCCUAUCUAUACUGCUCCUAACAUUUUCCCACUCUUCUCUAUUUACAACAUCACCUCCUUUCAUUUAUACCCUUUCAUAAGUCUUGUAACUCCUUUUCCCUCUAAGUUCUUAUCCUUCCAAUUUCCCCUAGACAGUUGUCAGGUUUUUUCUCACACAUUAUCAUAUUACUGUCCUUACCCCAAAAAGUCAACGUCCCCCACACCUACGCUCAUAGAAUGAAGUUCAAACUCUUUAGCCUUGUGCAAAAGUUCCCCCCAGCCUGUGCCUUCACACAUUAGAACUCCCCAUGUCCUAUGCCCUGUCCUUUCCUUUUCCAUGUUCAUGCAAAUGAUGUUCCUUCAGGCUUCCCUGUCUCUGAAAACCAUACCCACAUGUCAUACCCUCCAUGAAGGUGUUCUCGAGUCGUCUGGUUGAAAUUGCUCUUUCCUCCAGUAUUUUCAUAGUCCUUUGUUAAUCUCUGCAUUUGAUUCUUAUGUUAUCACUAUGAUGUGUUACAGUAUUUGCACAUUAUAUGUCCAAGGACAAAUGUACAUUCACAAAAAGCAGGGCCAAUUGGAAAGUGACAGAUAUUCGCAUGUCUCUGUAUUGUAUAGGAGCACAAAAUCCACAUUCCUGUGAGGCUUGUCAAUUUUAAGCUUUUUCCAAUCAGAUUUUUUCAUGCCACCUUCGUGAGUCAGAAGUUCACAUCUCUUCCACUCUUUUCUAAGACUACUUUUGUUAACUGUAAAGACUUUGUUUUUAAGGCCAGUCUCUGCAAUUUCAUUAAUUAGUCUUAACAUUUAAGAGCAGGCUUGUGAGUAUAGGAUGGAAAGCAAGAAAAAGAAUCACUUUGUAGUGAAGAAAUCUGACAAACACUACCUCAACCAGGGUAUCAAGGAUAACAUCAACACUGAUGAGUCAUGUGGAUGGUAGGUUCCUUGAUGGGCUGUGAUGGGAAUGAUACUCUACUUCUGCAGUUUUCCUCCCCAAACAUUACCCCAGUCUAAUUAUAAGAAAACCAUCAAAUCAACCCCACCUGAGAGACAGUCUACAAAAUAUCUGACUAGUAAUCCUCAAAAUGGUCAAAGCCAUCAGAAAUAGGGGGAGACUGGGAAACUGUCACAACCAAGAGGAAACUAAAGGUACAUAAUAACUAAAUAUAAUAUGGUAAACUGGAUGCUAUCCUGAGACACAGAAAUGAUAUUAGGAAAGAAAAUGAGGACUUUUAAUAAAAAAUGAAUUUGAGUCAAUAAUCUUGUAUCAAUAUUGCUUUAUUAACUGUGACAAACAUACCAUACAAACAUAAGAUGUUAAUAAUAGGGGAAAUUGGCUGUGGGGGGUGGGGUGGGGAGUGGAAUAGGAACUCCCUUUACUACCUUUGAGAUAAUUCUGUGAAUCUAAAACUGUUAUAAAUUUUUAAAAUCAUUUAAAAAAUCAGACUUGCAGAAUUCAAUUUAACUGGCAGAAAUACGAUUUUGUUUUAAAACAGUGAAAUGCUUCCGCACAAGCAUUCAGAGACCUGCUGAAGUAACACAAUUGGUUGAAAACUUAUUUCUCUUUAUUAACUUGUACAAAGAAAUGAUUUUGUUUAGCCAAUGAGUAUUUUACAGUGGAAACACUGUGCUCAUGGAAAAAAAUCAAAAGAGAAUACGCUGCAAAACUAAAUUCAUUUGCUUAAAGGGAGUGUAAAAUGUGCUUCUUGCUUUUAAUGGGGAUAAUUAUUUUCAUUCUUUAAUAAUUAUUCCUCUUUCUAGUCAGCUCUUACUUGCCUCUUUAAUAGAACAUAGUGGCAAAGAGAGAGCUGAGAGCAGGGGCAAGGGAGAUGUUGGGAAGAAAGGUCUUUGCUGUCUGGCAGGUAAUGCUCAGAACACUGGGCAAGUUGAAAAUGAAGCCAUUCAUUGAGCAAUAUUUAUGGUUUGCCUACUAUACACCAGAAAAUGUGAGAGCUUCUAAAAUGAAUCAUUGACACAUGCUGCCCUCAAGCCUCUUAUCAUUGUUCAGGGUUGUAACACACACACACAUGAUUUGUUUAGGGUAAAUAAAUAAAUAAUAUAACUAUAUAAAUCAUGUAUGAAUAAUAAGUGCAAAUCUGUAUAUUAUAUAUAUAUAUACAUAUAUAUGUAUGUGUGUGUGUGUGUGUGUGUGUGUGUGUAUCCUCUAUAGCUAACUGUAUUUCUUUGCCUCCCACAGGCUCAUGUUCUAAUGCAUUUAAUAUGUGUCUUGCAUGUGUGUGUUCCUGCAAAAAUAUAUAAUAUUGUUUUUGGCAUAUAUUUUUAGUUUAGGUAAAUGGUGAGGUACCAUACAUCUUACCUCAUUUUCUUUACCUUUUUUACAGUAUGCACUAUGUUUUUCAUGCCCAUCCUUGUUGUCCUGUGAAUACAUAAUUUUGUAUGUAUACUCACUACGUAAUACACCAAGAAAGACAGACCUCCUCUGACAGUCCCCUUAUGGUGUCUGAUAAUCUUCUGCCAUCCACCACCCUCCUGAAGGAGCCUUCAUUUGGUUGGUGCAUUCCCUUGGGUCUAGGGUAUAAGUAUUCACUUACACAGACCUGAUUGUCUAGGAAAGUUUCCAAGGAAGGAUUCUGGCUCAUUUCAUUAGGAUGACUAUGCUGGCAGCUUAUUCAAAGCUGUAAUUAGUGAAACCCUAUAAAUGCUCUUUGCCUCCUGAGAAUAUGUCAUUUCAGAUUCCUUUUUUUUUUUUUAACCCUUGAACUCAGAAGACUACGUUAACUCCAUCUCUAAAGUCCCCCUAGGAUUUCUGAGGAUUAAUUGUGUUUCAGGAUAUGUACCUGCGGGAGAAUAGAAGGUGAGGGCCUGGGAGACAGGGACUAAAGACCUGGUCCUGACUGUGUCUAGUUGGGUGAGCUACUUUGAGCAGGAUCUAACCUCCUUCUGUGCUCAGCAUAGGUGCUGAAGUCACUCUUCCUGGGUUUGAUUCCCAGUUCUGCAACUUUCCAGUUGCAUAACAUUGGGCAAUUCUCACCUAGAAAAUGCGGUAGUUAAACCACAGAUAAUUUCUAGGGUAGAUCCCAAUUCAGCUACUGUUUCAUCCAUAGAUGCUUUCUUGGCUUUGUGCCCCUUUGGCAUCGUCCUUCUGUUUGUAAUGUCUUUCCCCCAACAUUCUCCUGUCCUUUCAAGGUUCUCCCCUAAUCCUUUUCUUUGGAUUUCAGAUUUUAAUAAAGAAAAGAAGCACAUUAGAGAUGGAAUCAAUAAAGGUCCUUUUCGACUAUAGGUUAUUACCAGAUACUGAAUAUAGUUCCUUGUGCUAUUCAGUAGGUGCUUGUUAUUUAUCUGUUUUACAUAUAGUAGUGUGUAUCCCAAAUUCCCAAUUUCUCCCUCCCCACCCUUUCCCUCUUUAGUAACAAUGUUUUUCUUCUGUCUGUGAAUCUGUUUUUGUUUUAUAAAUAAGUUCAUUUAUGUCAUAUUUUAGAUUCCACAUAUAAAAGAUAUCAUAUGGUAUUUGUCUUUGUCUGACUUCACUUAGUGUAAUAAUCUUUAGGUCUAUCCAUGUUGCUGCAAAUGGCAUUAUUUCAUUCUUUGUAAUGACUGAAUAAUCGUCCACUGUCACCUUGUGCUUUUAACUUGCAUUUCCCUAGUGGCUAAAGGUACUUAAAAAACUUUUCAUCAUGGUUAUUUGCUCUUUGUAUGUCUUCUUCAAGGGAAUGUCUAUUCAUGUGUUUUGCCCAUUUUUCUAGUUGGACUUUUUUGUUAUAGAUUUUUGAGAGUUCUUUAUAUAUUAUACAUAUUGGUCCUAUGCCAGUGUACACCUUUCCUUUCCAUUAGCUUUACAAGCUCUUUCAUAGAACAAGAGGUUUUUUUUUUUUUAAUUUUUGUGAGCUCUAAUUUAUCAAAAAAAAAUUUUAUGUAUGUGGUACUGGCAUCAAGUCUAAGAACGCUUUGUUUAGAUUUAAAUCCUGAAAACAUUCUUAAAAAAAAAAAAAACAAUUUGGGAAACCUCAUCUUGGCUCAGCGG
Non-coding RNA from Sus scrofa (pig), 8211 nucleotides. The record is from RefSeq and is a predicted model, not a curated record. Lineage: Eukaryota; Metazoa; Chordata; Mammalia; Artiodactyla; Suidae.